RNAcentral lists this ribosomal RNA (497 nucleotides) under uncultured bacterium. RNAcentral describes it as "partial 16S ribosomal RNA". It matches the Rfam family "Bacterial small subunit ribosomal RNA", at positions 28 to 507 of the family's 1533-position model. The record is from RNAcentral.
GAUGAACGCUGGCGGCGUGCCUAAUACAUGCAAGUCGAGCGAACAGACGAGGAGCUUGCUCCUCUGACGUUAGCGGCGGACGGGUGAGUAACACGUGGUUAACCUACCUAUGAGACUGGGAUAACUUCGGGAAACCGGAGCUAAUACCGGAUAAUAUAUUGAACGGCAUGGUUCAAUAGUGAAAGACGGUUUUGCUGUCACUUAUAGAUAGAUCCGCGCCGCAUGAGCUAGUUGGUAAGGUAACGGCUUACCAAGGCAGCGAUGGGUUGCCGACCUGAGAGGGUGAAGCGGCACAGUGGAACUGAGAGACGGUCCAGAGUCUGACGUGAGGCCGAGGUAGGGACUCGUGGGAAAUGGGCGGAAGCCUGACGGAUGAGCGGCGGCUGGGUGAAGAAGGUCUGCGGGUCGUAUGACGGUGUUAGGGUGGAAGAACAAAUUCGUAAGUAACGAUGCACGUCUUGACGGUACCUGCACAGAAAGCCACGGCUAACUACGUG